GUGACACUGCAGUCUUUCCCCCACUCCACCCCCACCUUUUUUUCCCCCUGUCUGCUGCUCUGUUUCCUAUUCAUGAUAAACACCGUAUCCAGGAGCAAAAAGGAGAAAUGAUACCACAUCUUCUGGAAUGUUCAUGUAACUGGAGGAAUGAUGGCUACUCUCUGUGAAUGGCCGCUGCAGAAAUAGCUUGUGUAAUACGUGCUGUGGGAGUACAGCCCGUCCAAAAUAUAAUGUUCAGUUUUUGUUCUAUAGAUGGAACUGUUUUUCCUUUGGGGUGCUGUUUUAAGAAUGGCUUGGGUCUAUCCAAUGGAUAUGUCUGCUGCAGCUUUUGAAGGCUUUAUGAGGCUGGAUCUUUGAUUCUCUUUUGUGCAGUUGUUGCUGAUUUUUCAUGGCUGGACUGGAUGCAGUUUUGGCCAAGCAAUAGCCCUUAGGCUCUUCAUAAGGAUGUGUUAAGGGAGUGGUUGAGUGAGAACUGGUGUCUCCUAUCACUGAUCUUGUCAACCUCAUGGUCUCUAUGAAGUUGUGUGAGAUGUGGCUGCAUCAUACAGAUUGCUUGGGUGCUAGUUUAUGUCCAGGUAGGUUGAAAGUGUCAGAGAAUGCAGUCUGGGUUCAUGUCACUACAGUCUUUUUAUUUCAGGGCUGCCUGCAUUUGUUCUGGAAAAGAUUGCACAGAUCAGAGAGGAAGGAGCAGGGAAACUGAGUACACCAUCCAGAGCCCUAAAUUUCCCUGUGUACCAUCCACCUUACUCCCAAGCUGACCUGCAGAUCGUGUCCUACAGAGUUGGGCUUCACCAGCAAUAUCCUUGUCCCUUUUCGCUUUGCUUACACAGCUGGUUUUCAAGCCCUCUUGAAAAAACAUACAUUCAAUACAAAUAUUAUCCCUGUACAUCCUCCCUCUGUUAUUUCUUGUGUGCGGGAUCAGCAGUUUGCAGACUGUAUCUCGAAUCCCGUCAGGGGCCAGAGCUGCCCACAGCCUAUGAGAAAUAUUGCCUUACAAACUCCUUCACCCGGCCAGUCCAAAGAAGUGCAAGCGGUGACUGGGAAAGGUAUAGCAGCCCUGGGAUGGGUUGUGUUCAGUCAGGCUGUAAAAAAGGCACUGGGUUCUGAGAGAGGCUUCAGUCCGUGGGGAGAGAUUGCGAGGUGUGAGGCUGCUGGCUUUGUGCAGGUUAUUACCCUUCCAUUGCUGGUUUCUAAAUGGAGUCCUGUUGCUGAGAGAGACCAGGUUUGUCUUUACUAAAAACUUAGGGGUGGGUUUUUUUCUGUUCCAUGGUAUGUAUGUAACUUUAGAUGGCCGUCUCUGUGCCUCAUCACCUCUGAGGUUUUUCUACUGAUAUUCACCUCGAGAAGCUACAAAGAGGUAAAAACUACAGUGGCUUGCCGUGUUUUUGCUGUAGUAUCUGGCUUUGAUAUAAAUCCUCAGGGUAAAAAACACCUUCCUUUUGCAGCGAAAGCAAAGGCUGAGGGAUCUUUCAUGAAACAGGCUUAGUUCCUCUGGAGGACUGAAAUCCCCAUUUUUAAGGCCUAAUUGCAUCAAGUCUCCUGUGAUAAUUUCUUAGACAGCAAGGGAAAGCGGUUGGAGCCGGCCUCCAGCAUCGAGAGGCUCGAGCCCAGCAGGUCGGUGUGGUGGCUUGAUAGGGCAACAAAGAGAUUCAAAGAACUGAGCAACAGCGAUCCUAUCCUAUGCUCUAAGAGCUUUUUUUCCCCAUCCAUUACUAACACAAAUUCCUCAGGUUGAUCAAUAUUAUAACAGCUCACUUCAAGGCAUGUUUCCUUUGCAGCUCACCUCUAUUUUUAUAACGUUCUCAUGUUGUAAAAUGCUCUGCAGUAUCAAGUUAUCACUGCUUGAGAGCAGAGGCAGCGCUCAUAAGAAGGCGUUGGUCUGACACUGGGCUGAUGUUGUCCAACACUCUGAAUUCUGGGAUCAACCAAGGCUGGACUUCCUACCUUCGUGUUGGAGCUGCCAAUAUAAGCUUUCCUUCUCAGCUAUGUCCCCCAUAUUAUGUCACAGCCCCCCGGCUCCACUUGUCACCACAUGAGGUUUGGGUUCUUGUUUCCCAAGUCUAUAGCCAUCAAAGGAUGGCUGGGCAGCUGCUGCUGUUUCCUUGCCAUGAGAAGCUGGAGCCUUGUGUGCAUUCAAGCUUUCCUGCUCCUCAGUACUUUAGAUGGCUUUACAUCUGUCAGAGCAGCAAGUGCAAUAAAACAUUUGUAAAUACCCCAGAAUGAGGAUCAUUACAGAUGGCACUGGCAUGCACCAGGCUCACGUGGAAGUCACUUUAUCACCGCAUGAAGGAAAAAGAAGAUAGGAAUGAUAAGCCUGAAGUUUUCCUGAGCCUAUGUGACGGGUAUUAGCAGCUGAAACUCGUGGGAUGUAAAUGCUGGUUGAAAUACUACAAGAUCAUGUUUUCCUUUGGUGAACAGGCCAAGAAGAUUGCUGAUCACCAUUUUUACAGAUGCUGUCUGUCAAACCAUGCUAGAAGAGCUCAGAGUGCUUCACAUUGCACUUCAUGCCUGAGCAGAGAAGGGGGAAGUAACAGCUACAAGGCUGUGCAGGUCCCCUGGGCACUCACCUGUAAAGACACUCCAGGGGGACAAAUUCAUGCCUUUCUUCUGUCAUACCUGCGCCGGAGGACAGAUCUUUACCAGGUCAAGUCAACUCUCCUUGACCCACGUCUGAACCAAAAUACAUUCCCAGAAGAUUCCCCCACAGGAUAUCGGAUCCAAAGACAGAGUGACAUUGUAAUGAGUUCAAGGUUUCAGUUCAGUACAACAGAGUCCCUGUUGGUGCGGGGAAGGCAGCCGAGCCAUCCUUCUUGUCUUAGAGCUGGGACCUCUCACGGGGCUUUUCAGAGCAGGUUUUGUCAUCCACUGGUCGCUGCUCUUCAUAGAACAAUGUCAUUGAUUGCAGUGCUGCUAUUUGUACUCUCCUGACCGGUCCCAGUUCCGUGCAUUCCUAGGUGGUAAGCAAGCCCCUCCCAUAAACCUUUCUUCUGGAUCAAGUUGAGUUCCCUGUGCUUGAGCUGGGUAAGACUCUGAUGUGGUUAAACUCACCUGUAUUGAAUUGUGGUGCAAGGGCUGUUCAACAGUCAUUGUUACUUGUGUUGGUAAGUUUGGAUAUGUUUUAUUCUUGUUUUUCCAGAAUAAGCUAGGAUAAAAUAUUUUGGAUAGCAAGUCAUCGUAGAGAAAGGUCAUGGUCGUGAACAGUUAACUUGUAUGCUUGUUAAAGGCCCUUCCGUAGCUACUGUGAGAGCAGCUGUACAGCAGAACAACACUGAAUGUGUUUGGGAUGAUUGGACCUGUGCUUAUGGUGCUGUGUGAAGUUGAUCUGAGCCAGUCUUGAAAAUAGAGGCAUGUAAAUUGGAGGUAUUUGGGAGCGCAGAUUUGCUUUUUGGCUAAUGCAGGCAAUUAUAUUUAGGUAGACGGAGUUAAAAGGAACCAACAAAUUAUCCAACAGACGUCAAACCUGUGGAGAACACUGUUGUAGCGUGUUUGUUGUCUCACUUGCCAUUGGUGUUUGCUAGCAGGCUAGACAGCGUUCACAAUGGCCCAGUAAAAAAUUACCCUUUGUGUUGGUUUACUUAACAUUUCAAGGAACUGCGGCUCAAUUGGGAUGACCUUCUUUCUCAGCUCCCAUGCAUGGGCUUAGCUCCAGUAACUCCAGUCAGGCUAUGCUGAUUUUCGGCAGCUGGGACUUGGACCUUGCUUUUUAUGUCCCUUCUUCAGUGCUCGUGUAGUCAGUUUUCCUUGCCAAGAUUAUAUUUGCUUUCUUUCCUAAAGGACUGCUCUAAAUAUCAUGCUUUAAAACGACAUGUCUUUUUUGUCCCCACAGAGAACAAUAUGAUAUGCCACUGUUGAAUUAAUAUGUCUAUGAAAAGUGAAUAUAAUCUCCCCAGUAGAUCCCCUUUCCAAAAGAUUUAUGAUUUAAUGAAUUUUUUAUUCCUUACCGGUGUGUAGCAUUCAGUCAUUUUACACCUAGCAGGAGUUUUUCCCAAGGAAGCAGGGGAAGGCAGAGGGGGGGGGGUUCCACCAUCCUCAUUCAGAUCCUUUUUCCCCCUUUCUGCUCUGCUGUGCCACUUGUAAUGCUUGUUGCUGCUGCAAAGUCAAACCCAACUUUCUUUACCAUGGCUUCUAUCAGAAUCUACCCUUAACACAUGCAGGUUGUGGUGCUGGUCUGGGACAGUGCGAUGUGGAGAGAAAUUUGGUACAGUGCUUAUAUAAGAAUCAAUGCCUCUGAAGUCUCUGUUGCUAUCUGCUUGACUGCUCUAGGCAGGAUUUCUUGCUCGAAGCCCUACUCUAUCUUCCUUGUGGUCACGGUCCAGCGCGUUUUCAAAUGAACUGCUAUAAUGCAUCUGACAGUAGGUUAUGAAGCCGCAGAUAACAUCCAUAGGUAACACCUUUAUUUAGUGGAAGAGAAGCAAAGCAGAAGUGAGCUGUGAAGAAGAGAGCUGUUAUAGACAAUUAUUAGCUGUGUGGGUAAUACUCCUAAUUAUGCCGCCAAUUGAUUUCUCCUGAAAGCUCCUUUUGCCUUGAAACUGGUGAAUUGAUUGCUCUGCUGGCCCUUCCCUUGGCUGCUAGGAUGCCUGCUGUACCUGUGCUUGGCUUUUGGGAAACUUGCUGGGAUCAGCGGCUGCAAAUCCUGCUGGGAUCGACAGAAAGUGCUGGCAGGGUGGCUGGGCAAGGGGCACUGGCAUUAACCUCUCUCAUGCUGUGUCUUCAGAGGAGAAAGACAAAGAGCAGCUACAAUCCUGGGUGGCCCCAUUGAUUGAGACACAUGUGAAGCGGUGCGUGCUUUAUAUUGUCUCCCUGAAUCAGCACUGUUCAUCAUCACUUGUCAAGAGGUAAAUGCUAAAGGCAGUAUCCUUUCUGCAUGGAAAACACCCAUCUCCAGCUGCAGGUUUUCACAGGCCUAUUGGUGUACGGUUCUUCGUACUUCUGAUGCUGUAACAUCCUAAGAAGCUCAGUGUGAGCACAACAACCCAGAGCACACUGCCUGUCCCACCCAGCACCACCAGCACAUGCCUGGCUGGGCAUUAAAUAACUUAAUCAUUUUCUGUUGAAGGGGAAGCAAAACCGGACAGUGCCACGGUCACGGCCUGCUGGAUGUUCCCUUCUUGUUUCCUGCCAUUUCACAGAGGUGGCUCCAGAUGUCUUGCAGGGCGAGGAACGUGACUGGCAAAGGACAGAGAACCCUCAUGAAGGAGGGAGGAAAUGAGUGCUGCGUUUCCAUCCAGCAGCCCGUUGGCACUGGCUCCUGGGACCUCAGGAAGCUUUUUACCUUUGUGCAAUUGAUGUAUCACAGCCUGAUUUCCUGCAGGCGCCUGUCUGUUCAGCUAUCCCUGGCUUUGUCAUCUCGACGUGGGUGUUUGCACUCCUGGCCAGCACAUUGUUCUCUGCCUGUGCAUGAUGCUGCUGCCUUCAGACACGCUCGGUGAUGCUGCUUCCGUCUCACUUUGGCUGCAUGCAGAUCCUCUCUUAGGCAAUGGAGAAACCUUUCCCAACAUCCCUGUUUGACAUGCUAUUCUAAUGCUCCCCUUCCCAACAUUCGCAUGUACUUUGCCAUAUUGGCUUUCUCUCCCCCCCCC
Molecule: non-coding RNA, 5579 nt
Organism: Coturnix japonica (Japanese quail)
Lineage: Eukaryota; Metazoa; Chordata; Aves; Galliformes; Phasianidae
Source: RefSeq, a predicted model, not a curated record